UACGAAGGGGGCUAGCGUUGCUCGGAAUCACUGGGCGUAAAGCGCACGUAGGCGGAUUGUUAAGUCAGGGGUGAAAUCCUGGAGCUCAACUCCAGAACUGCCUUUGAUACUGGCGAUCUCGUGUCCGGGAGAGGUGAGUGGAACUGCGAGUGUAGAGGUGAAAUUCGUAGAUAUUCGCAAGAACACCAGUGGCGAAGGCGGCUCACUGGCCCGGUACUGACGCUGAGGUGCGAAAGCGUGGGGAGCAAACAGG
RNAcentral lists this ribosomal RNA (253 nucleotides) under uncultured bacterium. Its description in RNAcentral is "partial 16S ribosomal RNA". It matches the Rfam family "Bacterial small subunit ribosomal RNA", at positions 524 to 776 of the family's 1533-position model. The record is from RNAcentral.